UCUGAUGAUUAAUCGGCUGGAAAAUUGCUAAAAAUCACAGUGCUAUAAAUGCAUGUAGUUGAUGUACAUUCUAAGAAAUCAGGUUGAACUAGAAAAUAAUUACAUUUGGUUUUCAGGACAGCGGGAUAACUAAAGUUUGCUAAUACAACGAGGAUAAUAACUACAAAUAUAGUGCACCAAGUAAUUUGAAGUUCCUUACACCGUGUAAUUUUCAAAGCAGGAACUGUCGGAAACAUAUUAAUAGCACGAGCACUGUAUGUCAAAUUAAUAAAUCUCCAACAACGUUCAUUACUAUCGUUGUCCACACUCACAAAGUCUGCAUUUAAUUCGCAAAUCCAUGACACUCAAUCAUCGUGUGCAUGCUGCUCAUUGCGUAACAGGGGCAUAAAGUCAAAAAUGUGGAGAUCAAGAUUUAAUUGAUUCAUCGUUAAUUUCGAAAUAAUUACAGAAGCAUCAAGCAUGAAAAUCAAAUGAAUACCUAGAGACUGGAAGACGUUGGGCGUGAAUGUAUAUUAGGAUGAUGACCCAGAAUUAAUAGAAGUGGAAUUGAAGAUCAAGUACACUGGGAAAAAAAUUCGUUCACUUAAUCAUUCGAAUCAUAUCAAUCAGUGUAAUGAUAGGCCUCAAUAGAGCUUUUAAAACUCUUCCAAUCAGAUGUUUCAAAUAAGAAGAUUAUCAUCUUGACAAGCUGGGCCCUUGCUAGGCCAAUUACAAGCACCAGCACUACUAUCAAAGGUCAAAUGGAUUGGACAGUUGAAUAUGUGAAGAGUAAAUUUCUUCUUCCAAUCAUCCCAAUGACAAGCAUAAAAUUUAUUACAGUGCUUAGGAUGUCUAAAGAGUCCAGGUCGAGCACAUUCAGCUCUUCCCUCUGGGUUCAAUUCAAGUACUCCGAUUUCUCCGAAGUCGGUACGAUCAGAAGCUUUUUCUUUCGAUAAAUUGUUUGACCUUGAAGACCCUAGACUCUUUCCACUUCGAGAUCGAGCACGAGAAGAGUAAGAACUUGCUUCUAUGUCACUAGCAGAUACUCGAAGCAGCGAAGAAGCUGUAGUGGAUGGUAGAUCCAUGCAAGCAAAGAACCAUCUACAAUUUUGUGGAUCAGCGUAAUAACCUUCUCCUGGACAGUGGAAUCGUCUUGCACCUGAAGGAGCUAUUUCAGGACUUCCGGGACAUGCUGACCCUUGAGGAAGUGAUCCAGGCCAAACACACACUUCUGUUGUUUCAUCAAAAGCUAGUCCAGCCGGACAGUCGAAUUCAAAAAUGCUGUAUUGUUCUAUUUGCUGAUUAAACUUGACACAUCGAUAAAAUCUGAUGAGGAGGGUUCUUUGAUGUUGGAGUACACGAUUGAUACUGGACCCUGGGACGAAUCGCGUGUUCACCUAGUAAAGACUUCGUGCGGAUGAAACUGUGAAUGUUGAAAUCUGAAUCAAACAGUAGGCUGAUAAAAAAUAAAAAAAACUUGAGAAAAGUUACGGUAUGUCGAUCAUCAGAUCGCUCAGGGCGAUCUGGUGCAACAUUUACGAUGACCACGCCAUUCUCAUGUCCUAGAAGAGGAAAGGAGCGUGAUGUCAUGAAGAAAAAUACCUUUUCUCAUGACCAACGACACGUGGGUGUCUUGUGAAUCUUGAAGAUUAAUGGUUUGCACUGAAAAAAGUAUUCAAUAAAAAGGAAGUGUAAAAAAGAUCUACUGAUGGCAAGAGUUACAGUACAAGAAAUUGUGAAAUAUUUCCGCUAUAAUUGGUCCAUUUGACCUCGUUGAUUGUGAAUUUGAUGAGCGUGGAGUUGAGCAAACCCAUCAUAUGGAAGUUGUAAAAAACAAAAACAAACUAACAAUUUUGUUCUCUACAGAGGAAGCUAACGAUUGCCAUUCUUGUUGUUGCUACACAUCUUAUUCUUUUGAAUAAUAAUGAGAUAAGAGAAAGAACCUACUUAUUGUUGAUCAAUGAAAAAGUUCAAAUAUAAAGCUUGAAUAAUUUAAGAGACAUUAAUUAGCCAUUUAUCAUGUAUUCAAGAAUUUUUAAUCAUUCAUUAAAAAUGUUAAUAGCUUAAAUUUUUUCUCUCAGUUAAAAUUGUAUUAAGUAACAUUUUAACAUCUCAAAGAUAUAAUUCUUAAUUGUAAUGGCAAAAUUAUCGUUGAAAGUUUACGGCUUUUAAAAUAUUAUAUGAAGGUAUGAAGUCAAUUAUUUUUUAAGAGACUGCGGCUUGUGAAAAUUUUCUUUGACCUUUCUGUACAUUUUGUUCAAGCCAAUUGUGAAAAUAUGUAUAUAAAUGUAUCGAUAUAUAUGUAUAUUAUAAACACAUAAGUAGAUUAUGUAUCGACAAUUAGGGAUACAUUUAAAGUGGGCGAAGUUUCACGUUAAAUUCAAGUGCCUCAAGCAAUCGACAGUAUUUUAAGUAUCUGCAAAGACGCACGAAAGCCUCAGGUUAUGCUUUCCCUUUCGAUAAAACCGACAUCAGUUUAAAACAUUCAAUACUUUACGGUUUGAAAAAAAAAAAAAAUUUUAUUUCGUUCCAAAAAAUUCUCGAUUAAUUUAUUUAAUAAACUAGCUUUCACGUUCAUCACAUGAAUCAGUUGUUUUCAAGAAUUAUUUGUUAUUCUUCAUUUGUUCCGGGAUUAUAAAGUUGUUUAUCAGGAUGUAAAAAUUUCUAAUUCAUACAUAGUAAUAUAAAUCUUGGUAACAAUAAAAAGAAGGAGUUUUAUGAGUAUUAUAUGAAAUUACAUAUUAAUAUUGUGUUAAUGAAAUCUCAACUUGAAUGCAUUGU
RNAcentral lists this long non-coding RNA (2760 nucleotides) under Chelonus insularis. Its description in RNAcentral is "uncharacterized LOC118064194, transcript variant X1". Lineage: Eukaryota; Metazoa; Arthropoda; Insecta; Hymenoptera; Braconidae. The record is from RNAcentral.